AGGUAGUUACAGUGUGAAAGAUGAGAGAGAGAGAGGGAGGGGUGAAGAAUUGUGAGGUAGGAGAGAGAGAGAGACAGAGAGAGCGAAUCAGUGCUACCUUCAGGGAGCGGCAGAGAGAGAGAGAGAGAGCAAGCUGCUGUAUCACUGAGUGACAGACGAGCGGGUGAUCGAGCGCUGGUGUGACCGCCAGCGGACGAGUGUGAAGAAAAGAGAGAGAGAGAGAGAGAGGGGCGAGGCUGCUGCUGCUGCUGCCGCCGCUAUGCAUGCGGUAACCAUGGCGCAGCCGUCUCCGAGCGCAUCGCCGGGCGCCCGUCGCCGUAGCGAUGGCUCGGUGAGAGAGUGUCUGUUCUUCCCUGUCUCCGAACGCAACGAGAAGGAGAGGCUGGAGGCCCUGGUCCGCCGGAGAGGUGGGGGCGCCGAGACGAGAGGAGGAGGAGGAGGAGGAGGAGGAGGAGGAGGAGGAGGAGGAGGGGAGGCUCGGGACCACCUGGAUAACCGGCCCAAACGUUGGACUUGGGGAGGACCGCCUGACGGAGUGGAGGGUAACCCUAAGACCCCGUCCCGCCCCGCCAUUGGCUCCGCUCAGCCCAAUGAGCUUCCCGCCGCUCCCAGUGCCAGCCAAUCCCGUCACGGUACAGACCCACAUGACUCUCUCUCUUGUGUGUUACGCUCAUACACGCCCCUCCUCCUCCUCCCUGCCACCGCCUUUCCUGCUCGUCGCAUGUCUGCAUGUCUGUGGACUGUGGCUGUGACAUCGCUGUGUGUUCAGUGACGUGUGUGUGUGGGCACAGUGUCUGUCGGGGAAGUGAAUGACAGUAAACGCCUACAACAUGUUGCAUCGUCGAUGAACCUACUGUACAGGGGACACUGCGCUCGAUAUUCAGAAUUCAGAUUAGAGCCGGACCAUUAAUAUCUGCCAACUGAUAUGAGCCUUUAAAUGUGCAUAUAUGUUUUUACAUUUUAGGUAAAAUAAAUUUUUCAUUUCUUAAUUCAAAUCCUAUUUAUUUGGUUGUAUUUGUCUUUUUCUUAAAUUUAAUAUAUAUAUAUAUAUAUAUAUAUUUCGGCUGAUGUAUCGGUAUUGUAAAUCUCGUACUCCCUAAUAUCGAUAUCUGCAUCUACCCCCAAACGAUCCAUAUCGGUCGGGCUCUAGUUCAAAUACACAGAUUAUUUAUAUUUUUUGUUGAUUAGUUGUUUCUUAGGGAGAAAUGCAGGUUCCUGUUUCCAAGGCUUCUUAUUUCCUGCGCUGUCUGCUCAAGUGAAUGUCACGUUCACGUAAUAUGUCACAUGCCGCAAUCUUGGCAAAAAUCCGCCCCUUGCAUGUGAAGAGGUGGUUGCAGAUUUGCAGAAGCAGGAAUAUGUUUCUGAAAGAAUCCAGAAUGCUGUGAAUCAAAACCGUGGUGUGAGUCAUUGAAGAUCAUUUAAGAAAUUCAAGCCUGAACCUCUGCCACACAUCCGGCAGAUUAACGCGACACUGUCGUCCGCUCACCUGCUCUUACUGGUGAGCUGCUGCAGCCAAUCAGACUCUACCAGUGUGACCUUGUUUGAUAAAUCCCAUAGGUCAAUACAAUGCACAGACACUCCCACAGAGACUAAAAUCCCAUGUAAUAGCGAUAAACAGAGAGAAAAUUAAAAAGUCCAGCAUUAUAUAUUAAUAUGUUUUUAAAGACAAACAAACACGUCUGAAUGUCUUUUCUGUGUGUAAAUGUGGUUUUGAAUCCAUUUUCAUAGACAGAACAGAUUAACACUUGUUCUCCUUUGUGGCUAAUCAUCAGUGUUUGGUUUGGACACACACACACAAACACACGCACACACACACACACACACACACACUCCCCAACCCCCAACCUUAUCAUACAAAGGGCGGCUCCACUUCCUGUCUUCUUGUGCCCAGAGCUGUGUUUAGCCAUGCGUACACAUUAUUCCCAGCAGGGAGUAUAAAACGCCCAGGUCUCUCCACACACACACACACACACACACACACACACACACACACACACACACACACACACGAACACACACACCAUACAUCAUACCAGACAUACACCCUGUAGAUGUCUGUGACAUCUACUAGACCCAAACUACACACCAGUAGCAAUCAGAUCAAAACACACUCUCACACACACACACACACACACACACACACACACGCACACAAAUCAUUUACAGCAAAAAAAAACUGGGAAAAACAGAGAAACAAUAAUAAUAAUAUAAAUAAUUAGACAACAAGGAAUGAACAUUAUAAAAAUUAUUUAAAAAAAAAAAUUCCAAGGCUCAAAUACAAAAAUUAUGAUAAAUUGAAACAUAGAUUUUCAUUGAUAUGAUGUAUUGAAGCUCAUGUGAAAAACUAUCAUUUAUUAUUUCAUCUUUUUUCCCAUCUCACUGUAAUGAUAAUCAGGGGGGAUGUUUCAGUGGAAGAACGUGGCUGGAAAUCUGAUUUAUAAUUAGAUUUUUUAAAUCCAAAUUAAAAUAUGAUAAAGAUUAAUAUAUCAUAUAAUUUUUAAAAAGAGAGAUAUAUAAAUAUAUCUAGAUAUGUAAGCAUUUUUUAAAAAAAAUUAAAAACUACAAACCGUUGAAUCAAACUCUCAGUGUUCAUGAAAACACAGCGGCCGGCGUCUCUUCUCUCCCUCUCCCCGGAUACUGCUGCUGCUGCUGCUGAUGAUGAUGAUGAUGAUGAUGAUGUCGUCACGCUGCCUUCAGGUGCUGCAUCAUCUUCAUCACCACAUAUCUGCCUCUGCCCUCUGCUCUGCCGCUUCACGUCUGUCUUACAUCACUGAGGUUAAUCCUUUCAGCCACUCGUCGAUCGGCAGGAUUGUUUCCUGUGUGUGUGUGUGUGUGUGUGUGUUUGUGUGUGUGUGUGUUUGUGCACGCGCUCGCCGGCAGUUUUGUGUUUGAUCGUGUGGCGGUUUGUCUGUCGUGGGAUCAGGACGUUUUUGUUCAACGUAUUUCUCACAUUUUCCAUCAUCAGUCUGCGAUUUACAUUCGUGUACAGUUUGUGUCUGUUGAUUUGUUUGU
Long non-coding RNA from Scophthalmus maximus (turbot), 3012 nucleotides. The record is from Ensembl. NCBI's taxonomy places the organism in Eukaryota, Metazoa, Chordata, Actinopteri, Pleuronectiformes, Scophthalmidae.